RNAcentral lists this long non-coding RNA (734 nucleotides) under Trifolium pratense (red clover). RNAcentral describes it as "long non-coding RNA (TPRA_LNC010937)". The record is from RNAcentral. Lineage: Eukaryota; Viridiplantae; Streptophyta; Magnoliopsida; Fabales; Fabaceae.
AAAGAACAGAACUUGGUUGUUGAUUUUCCAACCACCUUAAACACAUCAAAUUAAUGUUUUCUUCACAAUUAGACUCAUUUCUAAUGAUUGGUCCCACAGGAUAAACACAAGGUUUCUUACUCUCUCUUUCAUUUUCUUGAAGAACCCUUAUAACUUCUGGUUCUAAAUCAGUGAAAGUGUUUAUGAUAACACCAUCAAAUAAUGAGAAUUUCUUACACACAUCAAGAAAUGAUUUGUAAACUAUGCUUGAUCUUUCACUUUUAAUUAUAUCUGGAAUAUCUUCGAUAGUUAAAGUGAUUGUACUACCUGGAACAAUUACUGUUUCAUAAGCUGGUUCUAAUAAGUACUCUGUUUCAGAUGAAACAGAAUCGUCGAGAUUCGGCAAAGUGACAAAGAAUGAAUAUGUAAAAGCUCCUGAAGGAUAGAAAAGGUAAGAAGAUAAGUUGAAUUGCUUAGCAACUUCAUGUGCAUCAGUUGAGAAUACACCAGAGAUUAAAGCAACAAGGUGAGUUUUUGAAAUAAGUGAUUUUAUUGCUUCUUGUAGAAAUGGAACAGAGUAUUUUGCUACAAGUUUCAUUUUGGUAGCAGGUUCGUAGCUAUGUUGUGGAAGGUUUUUGACUUGAGGGAGAAUAAUGAAGUCUAUGUUUGGUGGAAGAGUGUUCAAGAUUUGUUGCAUUGAAGGUGUGAGAGGACCAUCUGUUGGAAUUAUGAAGGAGACAAUGAAUUGAUUGUGU